This 247-nucleotide ribosomal RNA is filed under the name uncultured bacterium. RNAcentral describes it as "partial 16S ribosomal RNA". It matches the Rfam family "Bacterial small subunit ribosomal RNA", at positions 523 to 769 of the family's 1533-position model. The record is from RNAcentral.
AUACGGAGGGUGCAAGCGUUGUUCGGAAUCACUGGGCGUAAAGGGCGCGCAGGCGGCCUGAUUAGUCAGAUGUGAAAGCCCACGGCUUAACUGUGGAAGUGCAUUUGAAACUGUCAGGCUUGAGUACCAGAGGGGAAAGUGGAAUUCCCGGUGUAGAGGUGAAAUUCGUAGAUAUCGGGAGGAAUACCGGUGGCGAAGGCGACUUUCUGGACGAAUACUGACGCUGAUGCGCGAAAGCGUGGGGAGC